RNAcentral lists this ribosomal RNA (545 nucleotides) under Ochromonas sp. CCMP1393. Its description in RNAcentral is "partial Bacterial large subunit ribosomal RNA". It matches the Rfam family "Bacterial large subunit ribosomal RNA", at positions 1450 to 1980 of the family's 2925-position model. Lineage: Eukaryota; Chrysophyceae; Chromulinales; Chromulinaceae. The record is from RNAcentral.
UAGUAGCCAAGUGAUGGGGUGACGCAGGAAGGUAGCCGUGCCACGUGAUGGAUAUCGUGGUGUAAGCGUGUGGCCCGUGUUCUAGGUAAAUCCGGAGCAUGUGUGGGUGAGGCGUGAUGCGUACCCGUUUUGGGGAAGUUGGUGAUCCUAUGCUGCCGAGAAAAGCCUCUAGCGAUGUGGAUAUACGGCCCGUACCCGAAACCGACACAGGUAGUCAGGUAGAGAAUACUAAGGCGAUCGGGAGAACUGUGGUUAAGGAACUCGGCAAAAUGCCCCCGUAACUUCGGGAGAAGGGGGGCCUCGACUGUGAAGCCCACAUGCUGGGUGGAGGCGGUUCGAGGCCGCAGAGACCAGGGGGAAGCGACUGUUUACUAAAAACACAGGUCUCUGCGAAAGCGUAAGCUGACGUAUAGGGACUGACGCCUGCCCGGUGCCGGAAGGUUAAGAGGAGUCGUUAGCUUCGGCGAAGCGGCGAAUUGAAGCCCCGGUAAACGGCGGCCGUAACAAUAACGGUCCUAAGGUAGCGAAAUUCCUUGUCGGGUAAG